UGGAUAACCUGCCCUUGGGUCCGGCAUAACCCCGGGAAACUGGGGAUAAUUCCGGAUAACGCACAUAUGCUGGAAUGCUUUAUGCGUAAAAUGGAUUCGUCUGCCCAAGGAUGGGUCUGCGGCCUAUCAGGUAGUAGUGGGUGUAAUGUACCCACUACCCUACGACGGGUACGGGUUGUGAGAGCAAGAGCCCAGAGAUGGAUUCUGAGACAUGAAUCCAGGCCCUACGGGGCGCAGCAGGCGCGAAAACUUUACAAUGCGGGAAACCGUGAUAAGGGGACACCGAGUGCCAGCAUCCUAUGCUGGCUGUCCGGGUGUGUAAAAUACACCUGUUAGCAAGGGCCGGGCAAGACCGGUGCCAGCCGCCGCGGUAACACCGGCGGCCCGAGUGGUGAUCGUGAUUAUUGGGUCUAAAGGGUUCGUAUCCGGUUUAGUCAGUCCUCCGGGAAAUCUGACAGCUUAACUGUUAGGCUUUCGGAGGAUACUGCCAGACUUGGAACCGGGAGAGGUAAGAGGUACUACAGGGGUAGGAGUGAAAUCUUCUAAUCCCUGUGGGACCACCUGUGGCGAAGGCGUCUUACCAGAACGGGUUCGACGGUGAGGGACGAAAGCUGGGGGCACUAACCGGAUUAUAUACCCGGGUAGUCCCAGCCGUAAACGAUGCUCGCUAGGUGUCAGGCAUGGCGCGACCGUGUCUGGUGCC
This 703-nucleotide ribosomal RNA is filed under the name uncultured archaeon. RNAcentral's name for it is "bacterial SSU rRNA". It matches the Rfam family "Archaeal small subunit ribosomal RNA", at positions 101 to 802 of the family's 1478-position model. The record is from RNAcentral.